AGUGGAGGGAUAAGAAAGUGAAUCCAAAUGAAUUGUGGAUCUUGCUGAUACUCCCCUCCUACAGAAACUGAUAGAGGAACAGGUCUGACAAAUUAGGCAUUGUAAAGACCUACUUAAUCUAUCAACACUA
This 130-nucleotide small nucleolar RNA is filed under the name Pelobates cultripes (western spadefoot toad). Lineage: Eukaryota; Metazoa; Chordata; Amphibia; Anura; Pelobatidae. The record is from RNAcentral.